This 500-nucleotide ribosomal RNA is filed under the name uncultured delta proteobacterium. Its description in RNAcentral is "bacterial SSU rRNA". It matches the Rfam family "Bacterial small subunit ribosomal RNA", at positions 897 to 1400 of the family's 1533-position model. The record is from RNAcentral. Lineage: Bacteria; Deltaproteobacteria.
AAACUCAAAGGAAUUCGCGGGGCCAGCACAAGCGUGAGCAUGUCCUGUACAUCGACGCAACGCGAUGAACCUUACCUGUGUUUGACAUCGUGCGAAUCUUCCGUAAUUGGAAUAGUGCCUUCGAGAGCACACUGACAGGUGCUGCAUGGCUGUCGUCAGCUCGUGUCGUGAGAUGUUCGGUUAAGUCCAGCAACGAGCGCAACCAUUAUCUUUAGUUACCAGCGCGUAAUGGCGGGAACUCUAGCGAGACUGCCCGGGUUAACCGGGAGGAAGGCGGCGAUGACGUCAAGUCCUCAUGGCCCUUAUAUCCAGGGAUACACACCUGCUACAAUGGUAAAUACAGAGGGCAGCGAGCCGGUGACGGCGAGCGAAUCCAUAAAGUGUAUCUCAGUCCGGACUGGAGUCUGCAACUCGACUCCAUGAAGUUGGAAUCGCUAGUAAUCGCGGAUCAGCAUGCCGCCGUGAAUAUCUUCCCGGGCAUUGUACACACCGCCCGUCAC